Molecule: long non-coding RNA, 3417 nt
Organism: Quercus lobata
Lineage: Eukaryota; Viridiplantae; Streptophyta; Magnoliopsida; Fagales; Fagaceae
Exons: 6
Source: RefSeq, a predicted model, not a curated record
GGGGCUAAAUAAAACCUUUUGAUAUCAGACACGCCUACUUACAGGUUCACCUCCCCUUCUAUAAUAAUCAAACGCAAAUUAGAAAUACAGCUCCCCACAGAUUCAAAACUCUUAGAUUCAACACCUCCAGAACUCACACUUCAACCCCAACAACACCCACGAUGACUUCUUGGAGCAAAUGUUCUCUACCAUCCCUUUGUGUUCUUGGCCUGACCUUAACCCCAAAACCCCGUGGGACCUCAAGCCUAGAGACCUCUCCGACGAAACGCCACCAUCUAACCCUGACAACAAUGUUCCUUACGAAUUCGACCAUGACUCUUCCACCUUCACUUCCAAGCUCCGUAACCACCAGAUUUCCGGCGCUACUAAGCCCUCCGCCGCAGCUGCCAUCAUGCUCCAGCAGCAACUCUUCAUGUCUUGCGGUGCUAGCGCCGGAGCCGACGAGUCUGGUCUGAUACAGAUGUCGCUUUCUUUGGGUGCCUCCGACGAUGUCGUUGAUGGGUCAUCAUCUUUCAAGUCUCCCAAUAUAACAAGAAAUUAGGGUUCUUCACUAUAAAAGAAGAGGAUUAUGGAGGCAUAAAGAGAGGGGAGGCAUGUACUACUACAGAAAGAAGGAGCACCAAAGGUUUGACAUUUUGAUCAGCAUGCCCUCAAGUUCAGCCAGAGAUGAAGUGGAAUCUUUCUUCAAUCUGGAGUCUCUAAUUUCAUCAAAGCAAAGAUGAAAACAAAUACAUAUAAGACAGCCCUUAAAUCCAAAUAUAGAGGAAACAAGAAGCUGAAAACAGAAAGAACAAGAAGCUGAAUACAGUAGAGAAGUACAGAGCAAUAGGUAUGCACAGAGAAAUUCAGAGCAACAAGUAUGCAGAUUGCAAAAAAUGCAAACCAACAGGUGCAAAGAAAUACAGACUGUGACAAAUAUUUUUAGAUGUCAAAUAUUUGAGCUUCAAGUCCCAAUAUUUAUUUAUUUCAAAUAUUUGCUUAAUGAUGUGCUCCACCUAUUUUUUAAAAGAAUAGAAUUAGUAAAUUUUUCAGAAAUUGUUGUUUCUUUUGAGAUACGAGUUUAACAAUAUGAACAAUUUGAAGAACCCUUUACUCUUUCACUAUGGAAUUGUUUUUUUUUAAAUUUUAACGUGUUAUCCUUUCUUAUUUAUCCAUUCAUAUGCAUUUAGUUCCUUGCUCUUUUCAUGUUUGAUGUAUCUUAAUUUGUUAUAAUAUUUUGCUAUCUUGGAGGGUUAGUCAUGUUGUUCAAGUGUUUUCCACUAGAGUCACUAAAGUACAUUCUCAUGUUUGUAAGAUUUCAAUUUAAUUUUUCAAAAGAAUUUUAAAAAUCUUUCACUGGGUGAAUUUCUAAAUGCUGCUCAAUGACACUUUGUGUUUGUAAGGGCAUUCAAAAAUCAAACAAAGAGGUACUUAAGAAGAUUUUUGAAAGCGUGAGAAGGAUAGAAAAAAAUCAGCACUUAGAGAACUUGAAUGCUUUCACACUAAGUAUCACCAAAGUACCGACCUAUGAUUUCAUAGUACUUUGGAACGCCGUGGUAUUAUGCAACAACCUAAUUUAGCUAUUCAAGGGUAAUUUUUUCUUAUUUUACAGUUUUCUUUUCAUAUUGAAUAGUAAAUCUAAUUGGUAUGAAAUUUGACAUGCAUGUUAAAAACAUAAAGAAUAUGCAAUCCAAUAGUUCAAUUUUCAAAUAUGUAAUUAUGUUAAUUUUUUAGUGGGAGUUGUAGACAUUGGUUAUAAGCGAGUUUGUAGUCAAACUUUUUGCUUUGUACUAUAUUUAUUUUAAAAUAUUAUGAAAAAGGUUCUUGCAAACGUGAAGAUGAUUUUACACCUUGGUUUAUGGUGGCCUAUUGUUUCAACAAUUACAUGUUGGUGCACACACAUGUUUAAAAAAAAUUGACUUAUGCGGGUGUGUAACCAUUAACCAAUGUAUAUUGAAGACUGAAUUAUAUAAUAGAUUGAAGCAUGUGAUUAUCAAAGGCAAUUGCAAAUAUUCUAAACUAAUUUUUGUUACUAAUUUUUUUUGCUUUAUAAUUUACAUGUAUAAAUAUAACCAGGCUAAAAUAUUACUUUUACUUUUGUGUGUAUAAAUAUAACCAAGCUAUCUUAGAAUUUUUAUCAUAUCAUGUUUAUUUUUACUUUGUUUUUCUUAUUUAUUGGAUUUUCCUUGGUCAAGAUUGAACUUGCAUAAUGUAAGCUUAUCUAGGUUUAGGAAUAUUUUUUACAUUGGCUAAUCAUUUGAAGGUUUUUUUUUUUUGACAGUUUUCUUUAUUGGGAUGUGUUAUAAUUCAAACUUAAUGUAUAUUUCCCAUUAUCUCCGUUUUUAUUUUUCACUAUUUUAGUGCUGUGUAUGUGCUAUACUCAAUUUUCUUUACUAAAUUUGUUGUGAAAAAAAUGAUUUGACUUAAUUUCGAUUCAAUUUAUUUUCCAUUUUUAUAAUUAUUCAAUCUUUGUUGUGAAGUGUCAUAGUGUUUGGUUUUUUUCCCCGUUUCCCCCGUUGAUUUACAUGUAAGGGUUUGCUGUGGCUUGAGCCACAUUGUCUAAGGAAGUUAAAAUACUUUUGUGAGAGUUAAGUUUUGUUUAUGUGUCCGUAUGUAUGUUUUAUUCUUUGGUUGAUUUAUUAAUUAUUUCCCUUGAUGUGCUAUAUCAUAAUAGGUUGAUGUGCUAUAUUAUAAUAGGUUGUUGGUGGUUGCAUUUUCAUCAUGAUCGGAAGAUGAAGAUGGAGAUUACCUUUAUCAAUGAUAGAAAUAACCCUAAUACCUACUGUGUCUUCGUCAUUAUCACAAGAUGUAGAUAGACUUUUUUUUCCUUCCCAAACCUCAUCUUGCUUGACAAACCUUAUAUUUAUCUAUUUGUACCAUAUAUAUUUAUCUUACAUUUUAAAUUGAUUCUAUAAUUCAUUAUAACAUUUGUAUAUGUUUAUUGAUUUCUUAUGUAUAUAAUUUUUAUGUUAGGUUGUUCUAUACAGCUUUUUUAGAAUUGUUAUAAAACAUUGUUUCCGUAAUUAAAGUUUAAAUUCAAAAUCCCUUUGAAUAUGCUUAUGAUGACUCCCUUUGUACUCCUACCGAUGGUAACAUUGAUUUUCAGACAGUAUAUGGGGUUCCAGCAGGAAGGGCAUAAGAUAUAGCCAGAGAUUUGAGUUUUGCAUUUGCUAGAGACUUUGCUUUGAGUUUGCUGGCAAGAAAAAGGGAAGGGGUAGCCAUGGUUCAUGGGGUUUUGGAUGGUUCACUGACUACAUUGUUUAGUUCCAAAGCCAAAGGAGUUGAUGGAUUUAGCAAUUUUUGGAGAAGAUUAAUAUGAACUAAUUGUAUUUGAUUGAUGAUAGUAUAGACUUCAUUAUAUUCAUAUUUCUUUUUGAUCAUGCGGUUUAGUAGCUUCAUGAAAGUACAAAUUUUAAAAAAAUCAUGAAUCUAAAUAUU